AUUGAACGCUGGCGGCAUGCUUUACACAUGCAAGUCGAACGGCAGCGCGGGCUUCGGCCUGGCGGCGAGUGGCGAACGGGUGAGUAAUGCAUCGGAACGUGCCCAGUAGUGGGGGAUAGCCCGGCGAAAGCCGGAUUAAUACCGCAUACGACCUGAGGGUGAAAGCGGGGGACCGAAAGGCCUCGCGCUAUUGGAGCGGCCGAUGUCGGAUUAGCUAGUUGGUGGGGUAAAGGCUUACCAAGGCGACGAUCCGUAGCUGGUCUGAGAGGACGACCAGCCACACUGGGACUGAGACACGGCCCAGACUCCUACGGGAGGCAGCAGUGGGGAAUUUUGGACAAUGGGGGCAACCCUGAUCCAGCCAUGCCGCGUGCGGGAAGAAGGCCUUCGGGUUGUAAACCGCUUUUGUUCGGGAAGAAAUCCUCUGGGCUAAUACCCCGGAGGGAUGACGGUACCGGAAGAAUAAGCACCGGCUAACUACGU
Molecule: ribosomal RNA, 483 nt
Filed under: uncultured bacterium
Lineage: Bacteria
Description: partial 16S ribosomal RNA
Rfam family: Bacterial small subunit ribosomal RNA
Source: RNAcentral